RNAcentral lists this ribosomal RNA (301 nucleotides) under uncultured bacterium. RNAcentral's name for it is "partial 16S ribosomal RNA". It matches the Rfam family "Bacterial small subunit ribosomal RNA", at positions 509 to 807 of the family's 1533-position model. The record is from RNAcentral.
CAGCCGCCACGGUAAAACGUAGGUGGCAAGCGUUGUCCGGAAUUAUUGGGCGUAAAGGGUGCGUAGGCGGUUUGAUAAGUCUUGUGUGAAAUCUAUGGGCUCAACCCAUAGUCUGCACAGGAAGCUGUCGGGCUUGAGAGUGGGAGAGGCGAGUGGAAUUUCCGGUGUAGCGGUGAAAUGCGUAGAUAUCGGAAGGAACACCUGUGGCGAAAGCGGCUCACUGGACCAUUUCUGACGCUGAUGCACGAAAGCUAGGGGAGCAAACAGGAUUAGAUACCCGGGUAGUCCCUGUCUCUUAUAC